This 422-nucleotide ribosomal RNA is filed under the name uncultured bacterium. Its description in RNAcentral is "bacterial SSU rRNA". It matches the Rfam family "Bacterial small subunit ribosomal RNA", at positions 358 to 772 of the family's 1533-position model. The record is from RNAcentral.
AGAAUUUUUCUCAAUGGGGGAAACCCUGAAGGAGCGACGCCGCGUGGAGGAUGAAGGUCUUCGGAUUGUAAACUCCUGUCAUUGGUGAACAAAGCUAUCGGAGUAACUGCCGUUUAGUUUGAUAGUAGCCGAAGAGGAAGAGACGGCUAACUCUGUGCCAGCAGCCGCGGUAAUACAGAGGUCUCGAGCGUUGUUCGGAUUCAUUGGGCGUAAAGGGUGCGUAGGUGGCAGGGUAAGUCUGGUGUGAAAUCCCGGAGCUCAACUCCGGAACUGCACUGGAUACUGCUUUGCUAGAGUACUGGAGAGGAGAUUGGAAUUUACGGUGUAGCAGUGAAAUGCGUAGAUAUCGUAAGGAAGACCAGUGGCGAAGGCGAAUCUCUGGACAGUUACUGACACUGAGGCACGAAGGCCAGGGGAGCAAA